Molecule: ribosomal RNA, 116 nt
Filed under: Pteropus alecto (black flying fox)
Lineage: Eukaryota; Metazoa; Chordata; Mammalia; Chiroptera; Pteropodidae
Source: RNAcentral
AUCUACGGCCAUGCCACCCUGAACAAGUCCGAUGUCUGAUCUCAAAAGCUAAGCAAGGUUGGACCUGGGUAGCACUUGGAUGGGAGAUCACCUAGGAAGAGCAGGCGCUGUAGGCA